GAGGGACUGGCUCUCAGUCCCCGCCUCAUGGGGGGUCCCUCCCCCCUCUGCGAUGGGGGUCCUAAGAGCCAGUGGGGGAAUAGGGGCUGGCUCUCAGUCCCUGCCUCGCGGGGGGGUGCCUCCCCAACCCUGCGAUGGGGGUACUAACAGCCAGGGGCGGAAAAGGGGAUAGCUCUCAGUCCCCACUCUCGUGGGGGGUGCCUCCCCCCCUGCGAUGGGGGUACUAACAGCCAGGGGCGGAAGAGGGGAUAGCUCUCAGUCCCCACUCUCGUGGGGGGUGCCUCCCCCUCCUGUGAUGGGGUUCCUCAGAGCCAGGGGGGGAAGAGGGACUGGCUCUCAGUAAUUCCACGUAAGGUACCUGCCGUCGGAAGAUUUGAAAUUUCUACCUGGACAACUAACACCCACAGUCCUCCAGCUGCGUUCGGACCCGUCGGAUCGUAAAUCCCACAUAAGGUACCUGCCGUCAGAAGAUUUGAACUCUCUACUUGGACACCUAAUACCCACAGUCCUCCAGCUGCGUUCGGACCCGUCGGAUCGUAAAUCCCAUGUAAGGUACCUGCCGUCGGAAGAUUUGAUCUUUCUACUUGGACACCUAAUACCCACAGUCCUCCAGCUGCGUUCGGACCCCUGUCGUAUUGUAAAUCCCACGCAAGGUACCUGCCGUCGGAAGAUUUGAGCUUUCUUCUUGAACACCUCAUACCCACAGUCCUCCAGACAGAAGGACAACAGGUACAAAGUCCUAAGGAUUAUAAAGGUAUGCUGCUUGCCAUCAUCUUAGUGACCAAGGCAGCGAAGCUGUUUCUGUACCUUGGAACAGUCUUCCCUGACAAGCCAGAGAACAGCGAUAAAGCCACCAGCCUUGGGAUCAGGACUGAAAAGGCAAGAGUGAUGGAGAUUUCUCCUGCGCUAAGCCAAGAGAAGGUUUCAGCACCUCAGACAGCUCCCACCGAAGUAGCGGCGCUCCCAGCUGCUUGCAGAUGUGGAAAAGGAAAGCCUCGGUUUGUCUUGAGGUUGUCAGCAGUUGCAAGACACGUAAUAAAAUGCAAUGUGUUCCUAAU
This 1058-nucleotide long non-coding RNA is filed under the name Homo sapiens (human). RNAcentral describes it as "novel transcript". The record is from RNAcentral. Lineage: Eukaryota; Metazoa; Chordata; Mammalia; Primates; Hominidae.